AAACAAAUGUCAAAAAAAUAAAGAAGAAUAGAGCCCAUCUCUUUCUCUUAGUAUAAGAUAUUGUACGGUUUUAAACAAAUCUCAACAUUUAAAUUCCGGAGAAAUAUUCUACCAAAAAACCCCUUUUUAUCCAGGAGAAUUCUUGUAAAAUGUAAGAAACAAUGAAAUAAAAUAUUCAUACUAUUUCAAGAACGAUCACUUUCUUUUCAAUAACAAAUAGAAGUUAACUAAAGAAUCAGCAUGAUUACUUGAUAAAGAAACUUAAUAAAAAAAGAAAAAGAGAAAAAAAUUAUUGAGUCAAGAAAGCAACCACUUGUUGUUAAAGAAAUUAUAAAAGAAAUACAUUACCAUGAAAGAAAAUGAAAAGCAUAUGAGUUCAACAAAAAAAUUAAUACCACCCAAAUCGGACAAAUUUCUCUCUCUACUGAUAAAAUAACAUUUAUAAAUGAGAACCCAAAUCUACCUUCACUCUUUAAUGCUUUCUCUCAUUCCCUUUCUCUUUAAUAUUUCUCUCAAAUAUUUGAUUUUGAACACCACAACCAGAUUCAGUCUCUCUUCAGUAUUUUUCUCUUUACUGCCAUAUAACAUUCACAAAUCUAAUCCCACCUCAACAUUCUCUUCCCUCUUCUUACGAUCAACCCAAAUCUCUCUUUCUCUCUCUAGACUGAAGCAUAUCAACAAAUUAAAACCCACUUUCUCUCUAACAUCUCCCUCACUAUUAGAUGGAAGGCUAAUAAUGGAUCAAAUAUGCAAUCAGUCGUUACAAUCGAAGAUCCAACUCAAGAAAUGAAUCAAAACCUGCUUCCUAGAUCACCAUGCAUGAAAUAACCCUCACAAAAACAAAUUUAACUUAGAACAAGUACAAUCACUUUCACCCAUUAACAAACAGAAGACAACUAAAGAAUCAGACUGUCUAGUUGAUGCAUAAACUUAGCAACAAACAAAAAAAAGGGAAAAAAAUACAAGAAAAUCAAAAUGAGUGAAUGUACCUUCAAGUAAUGGAUAGCUAGAGAGAAAGGCUCUCCUGGUAAGAAAAUUGGGAAUUCAAAUCUUGGUUUUAGAGGGAGAGAGAGGAAUAAUCAAAUCAAUUGGGUAAGGUUUGAUGCCCAUGUAUUUAUUUAUAUAUAACGUUCGGUAGUUCUAUGAGGACUAGGAAUCAUUGAUGAAAGAUAAAAUCCGGAUAGGUCAUUGGAAGAUAACCACUUUCUUGGAAUACGUAAAUAUAGAAGAAGCAUACUCGUAUAUUAUCACAUAACCCACCACUAUAGAAUAAUUUGCACGAAAACGGGUUAACUAAAUGAAUAAGUAAUAUUCAUAUUACGCGCAAGUAUGAAUAUAAAUUUCACGGCAAUAUAUUAUCUUUCAUAUCAACUCAACAAAGUUUUAGCAAAUUGAAAGUUCUAGAGAGAGAAAAGGAGAAGAAAGGUGAAGCACCUGGAGAGAGAAAAGGAAGAGAGUUGUGAGUGAGAAGAGUGCUACGAGGAAAGCAAUGGAGAUAUAGAGAGAGAAAGGCUGUGUGUUAAUACGGGCAACAAAAUUCAGAGAUGGUAAAAUCCUAAAAUGUGGUUUUAGAGAGAGAGAG
This 1582-nucleotide long non-coding RNA is filed under the name Amborella trichopoda. RNAcentral describes it as "long non-coding RNA (ATRI_LNC000765)". Lineage: Eukaryota; Viridiplantae; Streptophyta; Magnoliopsida; Amborellales; Amborellaceae. The record is from RNAcentral.